RNAcentral lists this ribosomal RNA (228 nucleotides) under Triticum aestivum (bread wheat). RNAcentral's name for it is "partial small subunit ribosomal RNA". The record is from RNAcentral. Lineage: Eukaryota; Viridiplantae; Streptophyta; Magnoliopsida; Poales; Poaceae.
AUGGACCAUUCCAUCCCUUUUUCCCGUGCAUAUGCAUCGGACUCGGAUGACGAUGGUCCCGAUGAACAAGUUGAUGCGGAGGGGUUCACGGUGAAGGAUGCCGAAGCUUUCGAGAAGGUAUUCGGUCGGGAUCAUUGGACUACAUUGUUCAAGGAUGUUAGUCUCGCGGAUGAAGCCGUGGUAGAUGGUGGCCAAUGUGUAUCUCUUGGGGUUAGGCCAAGCUCUCAC